RNAcentral lists this ribosomal RNA (254 nucleotides) under uncultured bacterium. Its description in RNAcentral is "partial 16S ribosomal RNA". It matches the Rfam family "Bacterial small subunit ribosomal RNA", at positions 524 to 776 of the family's 1533-position model. The record is from RNAcentral.
UACGGAGGGGGCUAGCGUUGUUCGGAAUUACUGGGCGUAAAGGGCGCGCAGGCGGCUGCUCAAGUCAGGCGUGAAAGGCCUGGGCUCAACCCGGGAAUUGCGCUUGAGACUGGGCUGGCUUGAGUGCGGGAGAGGAUGGUGGAAUUCCCAGUGUAGAGGUGAAAUUCGUAGAUAUUGGGAAGAACACCGGUGGCGAAGGCGGCCAUCUGGACGGAUACUGACGCUGAGACGCGAAAGCGUGGGUAGCAAACAGG